UGACUCACGCGGGAAUCUUACCGGGUCCGGACACACUGAGGAUUGACAGGUUUCGAGAGUUUUUUUGGAGUUCGCUCCAGAAUGCUCUCUUAAAUAUGCUAGUCCUUUCAUGAUUAUGUGAUAGGUGGUGCAUGGCCGUUCUUAGUUCGUGGAGUGAUCUGUCUGCUUAAUUGCGUUUCACUAAAGGCGUCAUUAUAUUUUUGUGCUUGUGUUUGACCCCUCUUUCUUCGGAUUGAGCGCGUGUCUUUCACACACAAUUACUUUGACGUCUGAAAGCAACGAACGUGACCGUAACCUCUUGUUGCCUUCUCUUCUCUUCGGAGAAUGCUAGUUUUUUUCUUCGGAUAAAUUCUAGUAUAUGGAGGCUUUUACUCAAACUAGAGGGACCGCUGUUACUUUCUUUAAACCAGAGGAAGGUUGCGGCAAUAACAGGUCUGUGAUGC
Molecule: ribosomal RNA, 443 nt
Filed under: Elphidium sp. S4
Lineage: Eukaryota; Foraminifera; Rotaliida; Elphidiidae
Description: SSU rRNA
Rfam family: Eukaryotic small subunit ribosomal RNA
Source: RNAcentral